RNAcentral lists this ribosomal RNA (750 nucleotides) under Cladosporium allicinum. RNAcentral describes it as "eukaryotic LSU rRNA". It matches the Rfam family "Eukaryotic large subunit ribosomal RNA", at positions 96 to 871 of the family's 3401-position model. The record is from RNAcentral. Lineage: Eukaryota; Fungi; Ascomycota; Dothideomycetes; Cladosporiales; Cladosporiaceae.
AAGCAGCAAUAGCUCAAAUUUGAAAUCUGGCGUCUUCGACGUCCGAGUUGUAAUUUGUAGAGGAUGCUUCUGAGUGGCCACCGACCUAAGUUCCUUGGAACAGGACGUCAUAGAGGGUGAGAAUCCCGUAUGCGGUCGGAAAGGCGCUCUAUACGUAGCUCCUUCGACGAGUCGAGUUGUUUGGGAAUGCAGCUCUAAAUGGGAGGUAAAUUUCUUCUAAAGCUAAAUAUUGGCCAGAGACCGAUAGCGCACAAGUAGAGUGAUCGAAAGAUGAAAAGCACUUUGGAAAGAGAGUUAAAAAGCACGUGAAAUUGUUAAAAGGGAAGGGAUUGCAACCAGACUUGCUCGCGGUGUUCCGCCGGUCUUCUGACCGGUCUACUCGCCGCGUUGCAGGCCAGCAUCGUCUGGUGCCGCUGGAUAAGACUUGAGGAAUGUAGCUCCCUCGGGAGUGUUAUAGCCUCUUGUGAUGCAGCGAGCGCCGGGCGAGGUCCGCGCUUCGGCUAGGAUGCUGGCGUAAUGGUCGUAAUCCGCCCGUCUUGAAACACGGACCAAGGAGUCUAACAUCUAUGCGAGUGUUCGGGUGUCAAACCCCUACGCGUAAUGAAAGUGAACGGAGGUGAGAACCCGCAAGGUGCAUCAUCGACCGAUCCUGAUGUCUUCGGAUGGAUUUGAGUAAGAGCAUAGCUGUUGGGACCCGAAAGAUGGUGAACUAUGCCUGAAUAGGGUGAAGCCAGAGGAAACUCUGGUGGA